This 71-nucleotide transfer RNA is filed under the name Capra hircus (goat). It matches the Rfam family "tRNA". Rfam says of the family: Transfer RNA (tRNA) molecules are approximately 80 nucleotides in length. Lineage: Eukaryota; Metazoa; Chordata; Mammalia; Artiodactyla; Bovidae. The record is from Rfam by way of RNAcentral. RNAcentral also lists the same sequence under 1 other name.
UCCCUGCUGGCUCAGUUGUAAAGAAUCUGCCUGCAAUGCAUGAGAUCCAGGUUGGAUCCCUGGGUUGGGAA